UGGUUAAUGAUAAGAAACUGCGUCACUCCACUUUGUCUGUGGAAGUUGAAGUUGAAGCUCCUUUUCUCCACAGACCUGCUGAGGACAGAAGAGAGCUGCACACUGAUGAAGUCCAUGGCUGAAAGUUCAGCUUUUCUGUGUUAAAGAGGAGCUCAGCAAGAGACUCGCCGGUCUGAAACAGGAUUCCUCGUGUGCUUCGAGUCCUCGCU
Long non-coding RNA from Etheostoma spectabile (orangethroat darter), 209 nucleotides. RefSeq lists it as uncharacterized. The record is from RefSeq and is a predicted model, not a curated record. Lineage: Eukaryota; Metazoa; Chordata; Actinopteri; Perciformes; Percidae. The transcript is spliced from 2 exons.